This 253-nucleotide ribosomal RNA is filed under the name uncultured bacterium. Its description in RNAcentral is "partial 16S ribosomal RNA". It matches the Rfam family "Bacterial small subunit ribosomal RNA", at positions 524 to 776 of the family's 1533-position model. The record is from RNAcentral.
UACGUAGGGGGCAAGCGUUGUCCGGAAUCAUUGGGCGUAAAGCGCGCGUAGGCGGCCCUGUAAGUCCGCUGUAAAAGUCAAAGGCUCAACCUUUGAAAGCCGGUGGAUACUGCAGGGCUAGAGUCCGGAAGAGGCGAGUGGAAUUCCUGGUGUAGCGGUGGAAUGCGCAGAUAUCAGGAGGAACACCAAUAGCGAAGGCAGCUCGCUAGGACGGUACUGACGCUAAGGAGCGAAAGCGUGGGGAGCGAACAGG